RNAcentral lists this small RNA (47 nucleotides) under Reinekea forsetii. RNAcentral describes it as "Moco RNA motif protein". Lineage: Bacteria; Pseudomonadati; Pseudomonadota; Gammaproteobacteria; Oceanospirillales; Saccharospirillaceae. The record is from RNAcentral.
UGGAAACGGCAGGGCCUCCCGACUUUGGAAAGGUGAACAAUGUUACA